RNAcentral lists this ribosomal RNA (345 nucleotides) under Colophon stokoei. RNAcentral's name for it is "partial 16S ribosomal RNA". The record is from RNAcentral. Lineage: Eukaryota; Metazoa; Arthropoda; Insecta; Coleoptera; Lucanidae.
AUGGCCGCGGUAUUUUGACCGUGCAAAGGUAGCAUAAUCAUUAGUUUUUUAAUUGAAAGCUGGAAUGAAUGGUUGGACAAGAAAAUUUCUGUCUCUGUUUAAUUUUUUAGAAUUUUAUUUUUUAGUUAGAAAGCUUAAAUUUUUUUAAGGGACGAGAAGACCCUAUAGAAUUUUACUUAUAAAAGAGUUUUUAAUGUUUAGAUUUAUUUUUUUGAAAUUUAUUUUAUAUGUUUUGUUGGGGUGAUAGAAAAAUUUAAAUAACUUUUUUUUGUUUAAAUCAUUGAUUAAUGAAUAAUUGAUCCAUUUGUUUUGAUUAUAAGAAUAAAUUACCUUAGGGAUAACAGC